This 600-nucleotide long non-coding RNA is filed under the name Olea europaea (common olive). Its description in RNAcentral is "long non-coding RNA (OEUR_LNC009937)". Lineage: Eukaryota; Viridiplantae; Streptophyta; Magnoliopsida; Lamiales; Oleaceae. The record is from RNAcentral.
AAAACCAAAACCUUGAAACCAUUCGUUGCCCACAGCUGGUCGCCAACGUCACCGACACCAAAUCCACUACCAUUAUCGCCUCCGCAUUCUUUUUUCUUUUUACUGCCAAAUGGAUCCCACAUGAAAACUUAAAAUUAAAACCAAUAUAUUUGAUUUGGAAAAACAGAAUCAUCUCAACUUACAACCCACCGCCAUCUUGCUAAGUUCAAGCGUCUGAACCACCACACUAUCACCAUCACCAGUCCAAUGAGCUAGAUUUGAGGAAAUAACCACCACAGCUACCACAACACGUCCACCCCUGUCUACAAUCUAUAACCACCAAACACUUCUACCACAAACUUAAUCAAAGCCGAAAACCCAUUAGGCAACUAGUGCCACCACCGACCUAAAUUGCCACGACCUCUACCAUCAACCCAUACUAGAACCACCUACCACCAGUGUCGACAACUACCAACACAUGUAAAUCCAAAAAAUCCUAACACCACAAAGGAAAAAAAAGCACAUAUUCUCAUUUUCAUAUCCAAAUUCACUCGAUCGAGAAAUGUUUUCAAACAACAUUAAGCCCCCAUUAGUUCCCCAUUUUGUGGAAAUAAAAAUAGG